UACGAGGGGGGCGAGCGUUGUUCGGAUUCACUGGGCGUAAAGGGUGCGUAGGCGGUCGGGUAAGUCUGAUGUGAAAUCUCACAGCUUAACUGUGAAACUGCAUUGGAUACUAUCCGGCUAGAGGAAUGGAGGGGAGACUGGAAUACUUGGUGUAGCAGUGAAAUGCGUAGAUAUCAAGUGGAACACCAGUGGCGAAGGCGAGUCUCUGGACAUUUCCUGACGCUGAGGCACGAAAGCCAGGGGAGCAAACGGG
RNAcentral lists this ribosomal RNA (253 nucleotides) under uncultured bacterium. Its description in RNAcentral is "partial 16S ribosomal RNA". It matches the Rfam family "Bacterial small subunit ribosomal RNA", at positions 524 to 776 of the family's 1533-position model. The record is from RNAcentral.